CCUACGGGUGGCAGCAGUGAGGAAUAUUGGUCAAUGGGCUUACGCCUGAACCAGCCAAGUCGCGUGAGGGAAGACUGCCCUAUGGGUUGUAAACCUCUUUUGUCAGGGAGCAACGCCGGCUACGUGUAGCCUGACUGAGAGUACCUGACGAACAAGCAUCGGCUAACUCCGUGCCAGCAGCCGCGGUAAUACGGAGGAUGCGAGCGUUAUUCGUAUUUAUUGGGUUUAAAGGGUGCGUAGGCGGAAUGCCAAGUCAGCGGUAAAAUCGCGGGUGUAAAUCUCGCUCCGCCGUUGAAACUGGCGUUCUUGAGUGGGCGAGAGGUAUGCGGAAUGCGUGGUGUAGCGGUGAAAUGCAUAGAUAUCACGAAGAACUCCGAUUGCGAAGGCAGCAUACCGGCGCCCAACUGACGCUGAAGCACGAAAGCGUGGGUAUCGAACAGGAUUAGAUACCCGGGUAGUC
This 460-nucleotide ribosomal RNA is filed under the name uncultured bacterium. RNAcentral describes it as "partial 16S ribosomal RNA". It matches the Rfam family "Bacterial small subunit ribosomal RNA", at positions 338 to 795 of the family's 1533-position model. The record is from RNAcentral.